RNA transcript from Bubalus bubalis (water buffalo), 7628 nucleotides. It is a transcript of the gene named transient receptor potential cation channel subfamily M member 7, with no coding region annotated. The transcript is spliced from 40 exons. Lineage: Eukaryota; Metazoa; Chordata; Mammalia; Artiodactyla; Bovidae. The record is from RefSeq and is a predicted model, not a curated record.
GUGGUCUGUCUCCAGCCCCGUCGCCGGCGGAGGCGGGCGCGGGCGCGUCCCUGUGGCCAGUCACCCGGAGGAGUUGGUCGCACAAUUAUGAAAGACUCGGUUUCUGCUGCUAGCGCCGGAGCUGAGUUAGUUCUGAGAAGGUUUCCCUGGGCUGUCCUUGUCCGGCGGCCUCUGCUGCCGCCUCCGGAGACGCUUCCCGAUAGAUGGCUACAGGCCGCGGAGGAGGAGGAGGUGGAGUUGCUGCCCUUCCGGAGUCCGCCCCGUGAGGAGAAUGUCCCAGAAAUCCUGGAUAGAAAGCACUUUGACCAAGAGGGAAUGUGUAUAUAUCAUACCAAGUUCCAAAGACCCUCACAGAUGCCUUCCAGGAUGUCAGAUUUGUCAGCAACUUGUCAGGUGUUUUUGUGGUCGCUUGGUCAAGCAACAUGCUUGUUUUACUGCAAGUCUUGCCAUGAAAUACUCAGAUGUGAAAUUGGGUGACCAUUUUAAUCAGACAUUAGAAGAGUGGUCUGUGGAAAAACAUACAGAACAGAGCCCAACGGAUGCUUAUGGAGUCAUAAAUUUUCAAGGGGGUUCUCAUUCCUACAGAGCUAAGUAUGUGAGGCUAUCCUAUGACACCAAACCUGAAAUCAUUCUACAACUUCUGCUUAAAGAAUGGCAAAUGGAAUUACCCAAACUUGUUAUCUCUGUGCAUGGUGGCAUGCAGAAGUUUGAGCUUCACCCACGAAUCAAGCAGUUGCUUGGAAAGGGUCUUAUUAAAGCUGCAGUUACAACCGGAGCCUGGAUUUUAACUGGAGGAGUGAACACAGGUGUGGCAAAACAUGUUGGUGAUGCCCUUAAAGAACAUGCUUCCAGAUCAUCUCGAAAGAUUUGCACUAUUGGAAUAGCUCCAUGGGGAGUGAUUGAAAACAGAAAUGAUCUUGUUGGGAGAGAUGUGGUUGCUCCUUACCAAACUUUGUUGAACCCUCUGAGCAAAUUGAAUGUUCUGAAUAAUCUGCAUUCCCAUUUCAUAUUGGUGGAUGAUGGCACUGUUGGAAAGUAUGGAGCAGAAGUCAGACUUAGAAGAGAACUUGAAAAAACUGUUAAUCAGCAAAGAAUUCAUGCUAGAAUUGGUCAAGGUGUUCCUGUGGUGGCACUUAUAUUUGAGGGUGGGCCAAAUGUUAUCCUCACUGUUUUAGAAUACCUCCAGGAAAGUCCUCCUGUUCCAGUCGUCGUAUGUGAAGGAACAGGCAGAGCUGCAGAUCUACUAGCAUAUAUUCAUAAGCAAACAGAAGAAGGAGGGAAUCUUCCUGAUGCAGCAGAGCCCGAUAUUAUUUCAACUAUCAAAAAAACAUUUAACUUUGGCCAGAGUGAAGCAGUUCAUUUAUUUCAAACACUAAUGGAAUGUAUGAAAAGAAAGGAGCUCAUCACUGUUUUCCACAUUGGAUCAGAUGAACAUCAAGAUAUAGAUGUAGCAAUUCUUACUGCACUGCUGAAAGGCACUAAUGCAUCUGCAUUUGACCAGCUCAUCCUUACAUUGGCUUGGGAUAGAGUUGACAUCGCCAAAAAUCAUGUAUUUGUUUAUGGACAGCAGUGGCUGGUUGGAUCCUUGGAACAAGCUAUGCUUGAUGCUCUUGUAAUGGAUAGAGUUGCAUUUGUAAAACUUCUUAUUGAAAAUGGAGUAAGCAUGCAUAAAUUCCUUACCAUUCCUAGACUGGAAGAACUUUACAACACUAAACAAGGCCCAACUAAUCCAAUGCUAUUUCAUCUUGUUCGAGAUGUCAAGCAGGGGAAUCUUCCUCCAGGAUAUAAGAUCACUCUAAUUGAUAUAGGACUUGUUAUUGAAUAUCUUAUGGGAGGAACCUAUAGAUGCACCUACACUCGGAAACGUUUUCGAUUAAUAUAUAAUAGUCUUAGUGGAAAUAAUCGGAGGUCUGGCCGAAAUACCUCCAGCAGCACUCCUCAGUUGCGAAAGAGUCAGGAAUCUUUUGGCAAUAGAGCAGAUAAAAAGGAAAAAACGAGGCAUAAUCAUUUCAUUAAAACAGCACAGCCCUACCGACCAAAGAUUGAUACAGCUGUGGAAGAAGGAAAGAAGAAAAGAACCAAAGAUGAAAUUGUAGAUAUUGAUGAUCCAGAAACCAAGCGCUUUCCUUAUCCACUUAAUGAACUAUUAAUUUGGGCUUGCCUCAUGAAGAGGCAGGUUAUGGCCCGUUUUUUAUGGCAGCAUGGUGAAGAAUCAAUGGCUAAAGCAUUAGUUGCCUGUAAGAUCUAUCGUUCAAUGGCAUAUGAAGCAAAGCAGAGUGACCUUGUAGAUGAUACUUCAGAGGAAUUGAAACAAUAUUCCAAUGAUUUUGGUCAACUGGCAGUUGAAUUACUGGAACAAUCCUUCAGACAAGAUGAAACCAUGGCUAUGAAAUUGCUCACUUAUGAACUGAAAAAUUGGAGUAAUUCUACCUGUCUUAAGUUAGCAGUUUCUUCAAGACUUAGACCUUUUGUAGCUCACACAUGUACGCAGAUGUUGUUAUCUGAUAUGUGGAUGGGAAGGCUGAAUAUGAGGAAAAAUUCCUGGUACAAGGUCAUACUAAGCAUUUUAGUUCCACCUGCCAUAUUAAUGUUAGAAUAUAAAACUAAGGCUGAAAUGUCUCAUAUUCCACAAUCUCAAGAUGCUCAUCAAAUGACAAUGGAAGAUAGUGAAAACAACUUUCAAAACAUAGCAGAAGAGAUUCCCAUGGAAGUAUUUAAAGAAGUAAGACUAUUGGACAAGAAUGAAGGGAAGAAUGAAAUGGAGAUACAAAUAAAAUCAAAAAAGCUUCCAAUCACACGAAAGUUUUAUGCCUUUUAUCAUGCACCAAUUGUAAAAUUCUGGUUUAACACGUUGGCAUACUUAGGAUUUCUGAUGCUUUAUACAUUUGUGGUUCUUGUACAAAUGGAACGAUUACCUUCAGUUCAAGAAUGGAUUGUUAUUGCUUAUAUUUUUACCUAUGCUAUUGAGAAAGUCCGUGAGAUUUUUAUGUCUGAAGCUGGAAAAAUAAGCCAGAAGAUUAAAGUGUGGUUUAGUGAUUACUUCAAUAUCAGUGAUACAAUUGCCAUAAUUUCUUUCUUCAUUGGAUUUGGACUAAGAUUUGGAGCAAAAUGGAACUUUGAGAAUGCAUAUGAUAAUCAUGUUUUUGUGGCUGGAAGAUUAAUUUACUGUCUUAACAUAAUAUUUUGGUAUGUGCGUUUGCUAGAUUUUCUAGCUGUAAAUCAACAGGCAGGACCUUAUGUAAUGAUGAUUGGAAAAAUGGUGGCCAAUAUGUUCUACAUUGUAGUGAUUAUGGCUCUUGUAUUACUUAGUUUUGGUGUUCCCAGAAAGGCAAUACUUUAUCCUCGUGAAGCACCAUCUUGGACUCUUGCUAAAGAUAUAGUUUUUCAUCCAUACUGGAUGAUUUUUGGUGAAGUUUAUGCCUAUGAAAUUGAUGUUUGUGCAAAUGAUUCCAGUAUCUCUCAUAUCUGUGGUCCUGGGACAUGGUUGACUCCAUUUCUUCAAGCAGUCUACCUCUUUGUACAGUAUAUCAUUAUGGUCAAUCUUCUCAUUGCAUUUUUCAACAAUGUGUAUUUGCAAGUGAAGGCAAUUUCCAAUAUUGUAUGGAAGUACCAACGUUAUCAUUUCAUUAUGGCUUAUCAUGAGAAACCAGUUCUGCCUCCACCACUUAUCAUUCUCAGCCAUAUAGUUUCUCUUUUUUGCUGCAUAUGUAAAAGAAGAAAAAAAGAUAAGACUUCGGAUGGACCAAAACUUUUUUUAACAGAAGAAGAUCAAAAGAAACUUCAUGAUUUUGAAGAGCAGUGUGUUGAGAUGUAUUUUAAUGAAAAAGAUGACAAAUUUCAUUCUGGGAGUGAAGAGAGAAUUCGUGUCACUUUUGAAAGAGUGGAACAGAUGUGCAUUCAGGUUAAAGAAGUUGGAGAUCGUGUCAACUAUAUCAAAAGAUCGUUACAAUCAUUAGAUUCUCAAAUUGGCCAUUUGCAAGAUCUUUCAGCCCUGACUGUAGAUACAUUAAAAACACUCACUGCCCAGAAAGCUUCAGAAGCUAGCAAAGUUCACAAUGAAAUCACACGCGAAUUGAGCAUUUCCAAACACUUAGCUCAAAACCUUAUUGAUGACGGUCCUGUAAGACCUUCUGUAUGGAAAAAGCACAGUGUUGUAAAUACACUUAGUUCCUCUCUUCCUCAAGGUGGUCUUGAAAGUAAUAAUCCUUUUCUUUGUAAUAUUUUUAUGAAAGAUGAAAAAGAUUCCCAGUGUAACAUAUUUGGUCAGGAUUUACCUGUAAUACCCCAGAAAAAAGAAUUCAAUUUUCCAGAGGCUGGUUCCUCUUGCAGUGCCUUAUUCCCAAGUGCUGUCUCUCCUCCAGAACUGCGACAGAGAAUACAUGGAGUAGAAACCUUAAAAAUGUUUAGUAAAAAUCAAAAACCAGGCAAUUCAUCUAACAGUAUACCACAUCUAUCAUCCCCACCAACCAAAUUUUUUGUUAGUACACCAUCUCAGCCAAGUUGUAAAGGCCACUUGGAAACUGUAACCAAAGAUCAAGAAACUGUUUGUUCCAAAGCUGCAGAGGGAGAUAACAUAGAAUUUGGAGCGUUUGUAGGACACAGAGAUAGCAUGGAUUUACAGAGGUUUAAAGAAACAUCAAACAAGAUAAAAGAAAUGUUAUCUAAUGAUAUUCCUUCUGAAAACACUUUGAAACAUGUGAGUUCUCACACUGGAUUUACUGAGCGUCACAAAACUUCUAUUCCUCUUCAUUCAGAACAAGUGGAAAGUGGCAGUAGAAGGUCAUCUACAGAAGAAACUCAUGAAGUAGAUUCCAAAGCAGCUUUGCUACCGGACUGGUUACAAGAUAGACCAUUGAAUAGAGAAAUGCCGCCUGAAGAAGGAACCUUAAAUGGUCUUGCUUCUCCAUUUAAGCCAGUUAUGGAUACAAAUUACUAUUACUCAGCUGUGGAAAGAAAUAACUUGAUGAGAUUAUCCCAGAGUAUUCCAUUUACACCUGUGCCUCCAAGAGGUGAGCCUGUCACAGUGUAUCGCUUGGAAGAGAGUUCUCCCAACAUACUGAAUAACAGCAUGUCUUCUUGGUCACAGCUGGGCCUCUGUGCCAAAAUAGAAUUUUUAAGUAAAGAGGAGAUGGGAGGAGGUUUACGAAGAGCUGUCAAAGUACAGUGUACUUGGUCAGAACAUGAUAUCCUCAAAUCAGGACAUCUUUAUAUUAUCAAAUCUUUUCUUCCUGAAGUGAUUAACACAUGGUCAAGUAUUUAUAAAGAAGAUACAGUUCUGCAUCUCUGUCUUAGAGAAAUUCAACAACAGAGAGCAGCACAAAAACUCACAUUUGCCUUCAACCAAAUGAAACCCAAAUCCAUACCAUAUUCUCCAAGGUUCCUUGAAGUUUUCCUGCUGUAUUGCCAUUCAGCGGGACAGUGGUUUGCUGUGGAAGAAUGUAUGACUGGAGAAUUUAGAAAAUACAACAACAAUAAUGGUGAUGAGAUUAUUCCAACUAAUACACUGGAAGAAAUUAUGCUGGCCUUUAGCCACUGGACUUACGAAUAUACAAGAGGGGAGUUACUGGUACUUGAUUUACAAGGUGUGGGUGAAAGUUUGACUGACCCAUCUGUGAUAAAGGCAGAAGAAAAGAGAUCCUGUGAUAUGGUUUUUGGCCCAGCAAAUCUAGGAGAAGAUGCGAUAAAAAACUUCAGAGCAAAACAUCACUGUAAUUCUUGCUGUAGAAAACUUAAACUUCCAGAUCUGAAGAGGAAUGACUAUACACCUGAUAAAAUAAUAUUUCCUCAGGAUGAGCCUUCUGAUUUGACUCUUCAGCCUGGAAAUUCCACCAAAGAAUCAGAAUCAACUAAUUCUAUUCGUCUGAUGUUAUAAUAUUACUGAAUCAUUGGUUUUGAUUACACCUCACAAAAAUGUUACUGUGUCACUUUUCAUUAGGAGGAAAUUGUUUGAUAAUACAGAAAAGUGUGUGCUGAAUCUAGCACAGUUAAAAGGUCAAUAUUCUUUUGGCCCAAUUAAACUAGUCAGUCAAGAACUCCCUAUAUGAUACAGCUGGCAGCUGUUAAAUUUUAAAGAGCCUUGCUGGAGCUUGUAGCAAACAAAAUAUAGGUACUAAAUAAGUACGUGUUGAAGAAGUACCACAGAAUAUUUUCAACAUUAGAUGAUCUGUGAGCUUUUUCUUAGAAAAAAAAUCCCAGGUAAGGUUCUAAUUCUCUCUAGAAUAUGUUUUCCUUCUAGGUUUAUCGGAAUUCCUCAAAGCAGUUUCUUCUUGGGGUCCUUGAUUCUACUUUAGUGGAUAUGAGAGGGGCUGGGAGAAGGUAUGGUUAUUCUUUAGAAAAGUUACAAUACAUAUACCAGUUUACAAUAAACAGCACCUUUUAGUAGGGUACUUUCUUUAGUGCACUGUCCUAACCUACAGUUAGCACUUGCCUGUUUUUUACUUGGAAUUUCUGAAGUCCUGGAAUUUUAUGAAGUCCUGAAUUAUGGAACUUAACUUUCACUUUAAAUGUUUUAGUAUGUGUUUCUAAAAUACCAGAACUAUAGUAUCUUCACAUCUAACAAUUUAACAAGUUAGUUAAUAUCAGAGAAUGUAAUCAUUCUCAAAACAAAUUUUUAAAAAUAAUUUGCUUGAAUCGGAACUUCUUAAGCUUCGUGUAUUGCAGUUGCUUGAUUUGUCUUUAAAGCCUCUUUUAAUAUAUAGGUUUCUGCUUCCACUUUCUUUUUUUUCCAGUUUAUUUUUUGAAGAACCAGCUCUUGUGUUCUAAAAAGUUUCCCACAUAAAAGGUUUUGUUGAUUACUUCCGUAGUUGUCAUUUUAUGUUUCCUAUUUAGUCCAUAAACUAGUUGUUACGUAUAGAGACUCGGUCACAUUCAAGAUUGAUUGUCUGACAGGAGUGCUUCACUGGUGGCAUUGUGUACUUCCACUAGGAAACACAGGUCGUACUGUCUUUUGGGUGGUCCUUGCCUAGAUUUCUUCAAUAGAUCAGUGGUUCUCAGUGUGGACCACAGUCCCUGACAUUCCCCACGACACUUUCUUUGGCCUACAAGGUCAAAACUUCUCAUAACUGUAAGUUAUUCUUUGUCUUUUUCAAUGUGUUCAAAGUUUUACUGUUGUUGGAAAAUCAUUGAUGGGUAAAAAUGCUGCUACCUUAGCAUGAAUCAAGGAAGUAGCACCAAACUGAACUAGUUGGUUGGUACAGUCUUCACCAUCAUGCCAGUGUUUCUUUUUUUAAUCCAUUUCAUUUCAAAUGUCACUGAUGAAGGAAUAAGUCAAUUUUUAAUUAAUUUUGACCUUAAAACAUGCCUUUAAUAUUCUGUGGGGCAAAAUGAAAAAUAGGCAUAAAGUACUUUGCUUCAUAAGGAAGUGUGAUGAUUGUUUUAGGAAAAGGCAAUUAUGCAGUUGUGUGAGUUACAAACUGGACUAGUCACUUUUUUCAUUGAACAUGUCUGCUUGGAAGAAUAACAGACAAACCAGGGUUCUUCACACUGGGAGUGUUUGGUAGAAAACUAACAGUACUUACUAAAAUUUGAGCUUUCAAGAGAAAGUUGCAGUUUUGGAAAACUUGCCUCUUAACAUGGUAGCAUGACAACAUCCCGAUACUUUUCCAAUAAAAUCAGUGCUGAUUUAACAA